RNAcentral lists this long non-coding RNA (372 nucleotides) under Elaeis guineensis (African oil palm). Its description in RNAcentral is "long non-coding RNA (EGUI_LNC078157)". The record is from RNAcentral. Lineage: Eukaryota; Viridiplantae; Streptophyta; Magnoliopsida; Arecales; Arecaceae.
UCAUGAAUCUUAUUCAUGUAGGUAAUCAGAUUAAGUUAGAAUUAACUUAUCAAAUAAGUAAUCCUAAUGAAAAGAAGAAUUAAGUCCAACCAUGUGCUAGCAAGGUUACCAUGGACCUAAUGGAUUUCUUGUUAGACGUGUGCCCUAGAUGCCAAAUCGGCUGACACAUUCCUGUAUAGAUCUAAGGACAAAUUUAUAAUUUUGACUAUAAAUGAAUAAAAGAAUUAUUCUUCUAUCACAUUGUGUACAUUGUGUCUGUGAUACAUUCUUUGAGUUAGUAGGAAUGUAAAUUCAUAUUUUCAAGAGUUGAAAAUUUAAGGCAUGAAUUUAUAUAACUAACUCAUAAACAGCUCCUGACCAUAGGAUCAUCAC